This 55-nucleotide transfer RNA is filed under the name Cheiracanthium triviale. RNAcentral describes it as "tRNA-Tyr". The record is from RNAcentral. Lineage: Eukaryota; Metazoa; Arthropoda; Arachnida; Araneae; Cheiracanthiidae.
UUAAUAAAAAUCAUAUGAUGGUGAAUUGUAAAUUCACAUUAGAGCACUUUUAACC